RNAcentral lists this unclassified non-coding RNA (382 nucleotides) under uncultured Eubacteriales bacterium. RNAcentral describes it as "contains 16S-23S intergenic spacer region". The record is from RNAcentral. Lineage: Bacteria; Bacillati; Bacillota; Clostridia; Eubacteriales.
UCCGGUUUGUCACCGGCAGUCUCAUUAGAGUGCCCAACUGAAUGUAGCAACUAAUGACAAGGGUUGCGCUCGUUGCGGGACUUAACCCAACAUCUCACGACACGAGCUGACGACAACCAUGCACCACCUGUCUCUCCGCUCCUCCCGAAGGAGGCACUCCCGCAUUUCUGCAGGAUUCGGAGGAUGUCAAGCCCUGGUAAGGUUCUACGCGUUGCUUCGAAUUAAACCACAUGCUCCGCUGCUUGUGCGGGCCCCCGUCAAUUCCUUUGAGUUUCAACCUUGCGGCCGUACUCCCCAGGCGGAGUGCUUAUUGCGUUAGCUACUGCACGGCAGGGGUCGAUACCCGCCACACAUAGCACUCAUCGUUUACGGCUAGGACUAC